AUACAUGCAAGUCGAGCGAACCGACGGGAGCUUGCUCCCUUAGGUUAGCGGCGGACGGGUGAGUAACACGUGGGUAACCUGCCUGUAAGACUGGGAUAACUCCGGGAAACCGGGGCUAAUACCGGAUGCUUGAUUGAACCGCAUGGUUCAAUCAUAAAAGGCGGCUUCGGCUGCCGUUUACAGAUGGACCCGCGGCGCAUUAGCUAGUUGGUGAGGUAACGGCUCACCAAGGCGACGAUGCGUAGCCGACCUGAGAGGGUGAUCGGCCACACUGGGACUGAGACACGGCCCAGACUCCUACGGGAGGCAGCAGUAGGGAAUCUUCCGCAAUGGACGAAAGUCUGACGGAGCAACGCCGCGUGAGUGAUGAAGGUUUUCGGAUCGUAAAGCUCUGUUGUUAGGGAAGAACAAGUACCGUUCGAAUAGGGCGGUACCUUGACGGUACCUAACCAGAAAGCCACGGCUAACUACGUGCCAGCAGCCGCGGUAAUACGUAGGUGGCAAGCGUUGUCCGGAAUUAUUGGGCGUAAAGCGCGCGCAGGCGGUUUCUUAAGUCUGAUGUGAAAGCCCCCGGCUCAACCGGGGAGGGUCAUUGGAAACUGGGGAACUUGAGUGCAGAAGAGGAGAGU
Molecule: ribosomal RNA, 629 nt
Filed under: Bacillus sp. (in: firmicutes)
Lineage: Bacteria; Bacillati; Bacillota; Bacilli; Caryophanales; Bacillaceae
Description: bacterial SSU rRNA
Rfam family: Bacterial small subunit ribosomal RNA
Source: RNAcentral